This 443-nucleotide ribosomal RNA is filed under the name uncultured bacterium. RNAcentral's name for it is "partial 16S ribosomal RNA". It matches the Rfam family "Bacterial small subunit ribosomal RNA", at positions 338 to 795 of the family's 1533-position model. The record is from RNAcentral.
CCUACGGGAGGCAGCAGUGGGGAAUAUUGGGCAAUGGAGGAAACUCUGACCCAGCAACGCCGCGUGAAUGAUGGAGGUCUUCGGAUUGGAAAGUUCUUUUCUUAGGGAAGAAGAAAGUGACGGUACCUUAGGAAUAAGAAUCGGCGAACUACGUGCCAGCAGCCGCGGUAAUACGUAGGAGGCGAGCGUUAUCCGGAAUGACUGGGCGGAAAGGGUGCGUAGGUGGUUUGGCAAGUUAGUAGCGAAACUCCAAGGCUCAACCUUGGAACUACUACUAAAACUGUUGGACUUGAGUGCAGGAGGGGCAACCGGAAUUCCCAGUGUAGCGGUGGAAUGCGUAGAUAUUAGGAGGAACACCAGUGGCGAAGGCGGGUUGCUAGACUUUAACUGACACUGAGGCACGAAGGCGUGGGGAGCAAACGGGAUUAGAUACCCGAGUAGUC